RNAcentral lists this ribosomal RNA (502 nucleotides) under uncultured bacterium. Its description in RNAcentral is "partial 16S ribosomal RNA". It matches the Rfam family "Bacterial small subunit ribosomal RNA", at positions 30 to 523 of the family's 1533-position model. The record is from RNAcentral.
AUUGAACGCUGGCGGCAGGCCUAACACAUGCAAGUCGAGCGGGGUGAUGGUGCUUGCACUAUCACUUAGCGGCGGACGGGUGAGUAAUGCUUAGGAAUCUGCCUAUUAGUGGGGGACAACAUCUCGAAAGGGAUGCUAAUACCGCAUACGUCCUACGGGAGAAAGCAGGGGAUCACUUGUGACCUUGCGCUAAUAGAUGAGCCUAAGUCGGAUUAGCUAGUUGGUGGGGUAAAGGCCUACCAAGGCGACGAUCUGUAGCGGGUCUGAGAGGAUGAUCCGCCACACUGGGACUGAGACACGGCCCAGACUCCUACGGGAGGCAGCAGUGGGGAAUAUUGGACAAUGGGGGGAACCCUGAUCCAGCCAUGCCGCGUGUGUGAAGAAGGCCUUAUGGUUGUAAAGCACUUUAAGCGAGGAGGAGGCUCUUUUGGUUAAUACCCAAGAUGAGUGACGUUACUCGCAGAAUAAGCACCGGCUAACUCUGUGCCAGCAGCCGCCGUAA